RNAcentral lists this ribosomal RNA (795 nucleotides) under uncultured archaeon. RNAcentral's name for it is "bacterial SSU rRNA". It matches the Rfam family "Archaeal small subunit ribosomal RNA", at positions 83 to 879 of the family's 1478-position model. The record is from RNAcentral.
UCUGCUCAGUAACACGUGGACAACCUACCCUGAGGUCGGGGAUAAACCCGGGAAACUGGGUAUAAUACCCGAUAGAUCUAGAUUGCUGGAAUGCUUUUAGGUCUAAAGUUCCGACGCCUCAGGAUGGGUCUGCGGCCUAUCAGGGUAGUAGUGGGUGUAAAGUACCUACUAGCCUACGACGGGUACGGGUUGUGAGAGCAAGAGCCCGGAGAUGGAUUCUGAGACACGAAUCCAGGCCCUACGGGGUGCAGCAGGCGCGAAACCUUUACAAUGCUGGCAACAGCGAUAAGGGGACCUCGAGUGCUACGAUACAAUCGUGGCUGUCUAGUUGCCUAAAAAGCAAUUGAUAGCAAGGGCCGGGCAAGACCGGUGCCAGCCGCCGCGGUAACACCGGCGGCUCGAGUGGUAACCGCUAUUAUUGGGUCUAAAGGGUCUGUAGCCGGCUUAGUUAGUCUCUUGAGAAAUCUGGCCGCUCAACGGUCAGGCGUUCAGGGGAUACUGCUAAAGCUCGAGACCGGGAGAGGUGAGAGGCACUUCAGGGGUAGGGGUGAAAUCUUGUAAUCCUUGAAGGACCACCAGUGGCGAAGGCGUCUCACCAGAACGGAUCUGACGGCAAGGGACGAAAGCUAGGGGCACGAACCGGAUUAGAUACCCGGGUAGUCCUAGCCGUAAACGAUACUCGCUAGGUGUCGGCCACGGUGCGACCGUGGUCGGUGCCGUAGGGAAGCCGUGAAGCGAGCCACCUGGGAAGUACGGCCGCAAGGCUGAAACUUAAAGGAAUUGGCGGGGGAGCAC